ACUAGGGUUUUUUACUUGGAAAAGACAAUGUUCCAUACUAAAGGAUUCGGGUCCAAAAAACCAUCCUCAGUUCGGAUUGCAGGCUGCAAGUUGCCUGCAUGAAGCAGGAAUCGCUAGUAAUCGCCGGUCAGCCAUACGGCGGUGAAUCCGUUCC
RNAcentral lists this ribosomal RNA (154 nucleotides) under Triticum dicoccoides. RNAcentral describes it as "rRNA SSU_rRNA_eukarya". It matches the Rfam family "Bacterial small subunit ribosomal RNA", at positions 1239 to 1374 of the family's 1533-position model. Lineage: Eukaryota; Viridiplantae; Streptophyta; Magnoliopsida; Poales; Poaceae. The record is from RNAcentral.